CUUCUAUUAUUUGCAAUCAGUAACAAAGAUUCAUCCUUGUGUCCAUCAAGCAACAAGGAGAAUCUUUGUCACUUAGUGUAAUUAAUAGCUGCGC
Molecule: microRNA precursor, 94 nt
Filed under: Equus asinus (donkey)
Lineage: Eukaryota; Metazoa; Chordata; Mammalia; Perissodactyla; Equidae
Also listed under: 1 other name
Description: mir-802 microRNA precursor family
Rfam family: mir-802 microRNA precursor family
Source: Rfam by way of RNAcentral